UACAUGGGGUGCAAACGUUGCUCGGAAUUAUUGGGCGUAAAGCGCACGUAGGCGGUUUGUUAAGUCGGAUGUGAAAUCCCUCGGCUCAACUGAGGAAGUGCAUCCGAAACUGGCAGGCUUGAGUACUAAAAGAGGGUCGCGGAAUUCCCGGUGUAGAGGUGAAAUUCGUAGAUAUCGGGAGGAACACCGGUGGCGAAGGCGGCGACCUGGGUAGAUACUGACGCUGAGGUGCGAAAAGCGUGGGGGAGCAAACAGG
This 256-nucleotide ribosomal RNA is filed under the name uncultured bacterium. Its description in RNAcentral is "partial 16S ribosomal RNA". It matches the Rfam family "Bacterial small subunit ribosomal RNA", at positions 524 to 776 of the family's 1533-position model. The record is from RNAcentral.